CAAGAAGUCAGGGAUUGCAAUACUAAUUCUCUCUUUAUGGCAUAUCUUUAGUGAUCUCAUGUACCUUUCAACAAAAGUGAAAUUGUUCCCUGGUCACAGGCUAAGCACAAAGCGUCUCUUACAGAGGCUGCCCUCACUCUGACUCCAUCAUUGAUAUCUUUAACUGCAGCAGAAGGAAUUCAUUUCACAGAAGCCACCACUUUGGAAAUGAAGAUGUAUGUUUGCACAGAUUCCAGAUGGAGACAGCCCCUGCCCUGGAGAGCAUUUGGUGUGAAUUUACAUCUUGAAUUGAGCUCCAUGUAAUUGUAGUCCUGCAUUCAGCUGCGAAUCCUGAAAACAACAGGCUUCUGUGAAGGAAGCUGCCCACAGGGAGCUUCAGCUACCUCUUGUCUCCUUUUAUUGCCUGCCUGCUAAACUCCUUGGGCAGGCACUACCUUUUUCAUAAAUAUAAUGCUUAGCACUAUGGGGCCUGAUCCCUCAUUGGUACUGUUAGCACUGUCAUUGUACAGAGAAAAUACAUUGUUUCAAUGUUUUUAGUUCCUCCCUUCCGGGCAUCAGGAAAGUGAACUUUCAGGAAGUAAAAUGAACAAAC
Molecule: long non-coding RNA, 592 nt
Filed under: Crocodylus porosus (Australian saltwater crocodile)
Lineage: Eukaryota; Metazoa; Chordata; Crocodylia; Crocodylidae
Description: lncRNA (ENSCPRG00005014519.1)
Source: RNAcentral